RNAcentral lists this transfer RNA (81 nucleotides) under Cordylochernes scorpioides. RNAcentral describes it as "tRNA-Glu". The record is from RNAcentral. Lineage: Eukaryota; Metazoa; Arthropoda; Arachnida; Pseudoscorpiones; Chernetidae.
UGUUCAAUGCGGGAAUCGAACCCGGGUCCUAGUGGUCGAAAACCAAACGGUUUAACCACUCUUCCACUACAGAGACUAAAU